This 559-nucleotide ribosomal RNA is filed under the name Escherichia coli. RNAcentral describes it as "partial 23S ribosomal RNA". It matches the Rfam family "Bacterial large subunit ribosomal RNA", at positions 1292 to 1836 of the family's 2925-position model. Lineage: Bacteria; Pseudomonadati; Pseudomonadota; Gammaproteobacteria; Enterobacterales; Enterobacteriaceae. The record is from RNAcentral.
GAAUGCUGACAUAAGUAACGAUAAAGCGGGUGAAAAGCCCGCUCGCCGGAAGACCAAGGGUUCCUGUCCAACGUUAAUCGGGGCAGGGUGAGUCGACCCCUAAGGCGAGGCCGAAAGGCGUAGUCGAUGGGAAACAGGUUAAUAUUCCUGUACUUGGUGUUACUGCGAAGGGGGGACGGAGAAGGCUAUGUUGGCCGGGCGACGGUUGUCCCGGUUUAAGCGUGUAGGCUGGUUUUCCAGGCAAAUCCGGAAAACCAAGGCUGAGGCGUGAUGACGAGGCACUACGGUGCUGAAGCGACAAAUGCCCUGCUUCCAGGAAAAGCCUCUAAGCAUCAGGUAACAUCAAAUCGUACCCCAAACCGACACAGGUGGUCAGGUAGAGAAUACCAAGGCGCUUGAGAGAACUCGGGUGAAGGAACUAGGCAAAAUGGUGCCGUAACUUCGGGAGAAGGCACGCUGAUAUGUAGGUGAAGCGACUUGCUCGUGGAGCUGAAAUCAGUCGAAGAUACCAGCUGGCUGCAACUGUUUAUUAAAAACACAGCACUGUGCAAACACGAAA